RNAcentral lists this ribosomal RNA (784 nucleotides) under microbial mat metagenome. RNAcentral describes it as "bacterial SSU rRNA". It matches the Rfam family "Bacterial small subunit ribosomal RNA", at positions 647 to 1531 of the family's 1533-position model. The record is from RNAcentral.
UUAGGGAGAGGUAAGCGGAAUUCUAAGUGUAGGGGUGCAAUCCGUAGAUACUUAGAGGAACACCAAAAGCGAAGGCAGCUUACUGGAACUAUAUUGACGCUAAAGAACGAAAGCGUGGGUAGCGAAAAGGAUUAGAUACCCUUGUAGUCCACGCCCUAAACGAUGAUAACUAAGUGUUGCGACUAGCUCGCAGUGCUGAAGCUAACGCGAUAAGUUAUCCACCUGAGGAGUACGGUCGCAAGAUUAAAACUCAAAGGAAUAGACGGGGACCCACACAAGCAGUGGAUCACGUGGUUUAAUUCGACAAUAAACGGGGAAUCUUACCCAGACUUGACAUCCCAAGAACGCUUAGGAAACUAGGAAGUGCCCGUAAGGGAGCUUGGAGACAGGUGCUGCAUGGUUGUCGUCAGCUCGUGCCUUGAGGUGUUCGGUUAAGUCCGUUAACGAGCGCAACCCAUGUCAUUAGUUAUUAUGUCUAAUGAGACUGCCUUGGUUAACAAGGAGGAAGGUGUGGAUAACGUCAAAUCAGCAUGGCUUUUACGUCUGGGGCUACACACAUGAUACAAUGGGGUGCACAAAGAGUUGCGAUAUGGUAACAUUGAGCUAAUCUUCAAAACACUCCUCAGUUCGGAUUGAGGUCUGAAACUCGACCUCAUGAAGUUGGAAUUGCUAGUAAUCGUGAAUCAGAUAUGUCACGGUGAAUAUGUUCCUGGGUCUUGAUUAUUGACUGGGCUGAAGUCGUAACAAGGUAUCCGUAGGAGAACCUGCGGAUGGACUAUCUCCU